UUAAGGUAUCUUUUAACAUUAUAUCACUAAAACUUCUAUUGCAUGUUACCUUUUCAUUUAGACGUCUCAGUUCUUAACUCUGAAUAUUUGCCAGUAAUAUGUUCAUGAUUUAGGGUGCUUGUCAGCUUGGAAGGGGAGGUAUUGGAUAAACUGAAAACAUGAAGGGAUGCUGUUAGUUAUUUUCUUAGUCCAAAGUCCAUCAUGGAACAUUUAUUUAACAAGAGCACUGUUGCUGUUCUAUGAAGCAGCAGAAUCUGCUUUGGAUAUAGUUUACCAUUCCUUGUCCUUCCUUGUUUGAUGUCUUUGUUUCCCAUCACUCUAAAAGAGUAAACGGUGUGGAAAAUUUUCAUAUCCACAUAAACCUGGCCCACUGUCUUAAUUCAAAUUCAUUCUAAAUUGUUUUUUCUUGUUCUAUCUAUUUUCUUAUGAAUUUUCGUAACAUUACGUUAGAAAGAGAGCAAAAGCAUCCGAGUAUGUACUUGCUGAGAUUUUUGACAUUUUCAACAAUGUCUCUUCUUCUCUUUGGGGUUAUCCUUGUGAGUUGUGACUCAUGCAUUCAAUAUUUGAUUUCAAGAAUAUGAAAGAUGAUCAUUUCUCUAAACUUACAAUGGUCCAUCAAUGUCCAAUAUGUAGACAUUUACUCUUAAUUAUGUUUUGAAGCAACUCUCUUUUGCAGGUCUGAUCCCUCUUCGGGAGUAUUUCUCCUUUUUCCCCCACAGUUUCUAACCCUUCCUCCAUGGCCUUUGUCUAACCCUUCACCUGAAGGAUCUCGUUCCUC
This 778-nucleotide long non-coding RNA is filed under the name Setaria viridis. RNAcentral describes it as "long non-coding RNA (SVIR_LNC003852)". The record is from RNAcentral. Lineage: Eukaryota; Viridiplantae; Streptophyta; Magnoliopsida; Poales; Poaceae.